AACGUAGGGGGCCAGCGUUGCUCGGAAUUACUGGGCGUAAAGGGUCCGUAGGCGGUGUGGCAAGUCGGAAGUGAAAUCUCUGGGCUUAACCCAGAGGCUGCUCCCGAAACUGCCGUGCUAGAGGGUGAGAGAGGCAAGUGGAAUUGCGGGUGUAGCGGUGAAAUGCGUAGAUAUCCGCAGGAACAUCCGAGGCGAAAGCGGCUUGCUGGAUCACUUCUGACGCUGAGGGACGAAAGCUAGGGGAGCAAACAGG
RNAcentral lists this ribosomal RNA (253 nucleotides) under uncultured bacterium. Its description in RNAcentral is "partial 16S ribosomal RNA". It matches the Rfam family "Bacterial small subunit ribosomal RNA", at positions 524 to 776 of the family's 1533-position model. The record is from RNAcentral. RNAcentral also lists the same sequence under 1 other name.